This 1343-nucleotide ribosomal RNA is filed under the name uncultured bacterium. RNAcentral describes it as "16S ribosomal RNA". It matches the Rfam family "Bacterial small subunit ribosomal RNA", at positions 28 to 1378 of the family's 1533-position model. The record is from RNAcentral.
GACGAACGCUGGCGGCGUGCUUAACACAUGCAAGUCGAACGGAAAGGCCCUGCUUUUGUGGGGUGCUCGAGUGGCGAACGGGUGAGUAACACGUGAGUAACCUGCCCUUGACUUUGGGAUAACUUCAGGAAACUGGGGCUAAUACCGGAUAGGAGCUCCUGCUGCGUGGUGGGGGUUGGAAAGUUUCGGCGGUUGGGGAUGGACUCGCGGCUUAUCAGCUUGUUGGUGGGGUAGUGGCUUACCAAGGCUUUGACGGGUAGCCGGCCUGAGAGGGUGACCGGCCACAUUGGGACUGAGAUACGGCCCAGACUCCUACGGGAGGCAGCAGUGGGGAAUAUUGCACAAUGGGCGGAAGCCUGAUGCAGCAACGCCGCGUGCGGGAUGACGGCCUUCGGGUUGUAAACCGCUUUCGCCUGUGACGAAGCGUGAGUGACGGUAAUGGGUAAAGAAGCACCGGCUAACUACGUGCCAGCAGCCGCGGUGAUACGUAGGGUGCGAGCGUUGUCCGGAUUUAUUGGGCGUAAAGGGCUCGUAGGUGGUUGAUCGCGUCGGAAGUGUAAUCUUGGGGCUUAACCCUGAGCGUGCUUUCGAUACGGGUUGACUUGAGGAAGGUAGGGGAGAAUGGAAUUCCUGGUGGAGCGGUGGAAUGCGCAGAUAUCAGGGGGAACACCAGUGGCGAAGGCGGUUCUCUGGGCCUUUCCUGACGCUGAGGAGCGAAAGCGUGGGGAGCGAACAGGCUUAGAUACCCUGGUAGUCCACGCUGUAAACGGUGGGUACUAGGUGUGGGGUCCAUUCCACGGGUUCCGUGCCGUAGCUAACGCUUUAAGUACCCCGCCUGGGGAGUACGGCCGCAAGGCUAAAACUCAAAGGAAUUGACGGGGCCCCGCACAAGCGGCGGAGCAUGCGGAUUAAUUCGAUGCAACGCGUAGAACCUUACCUGGGUUUGACAUGGAUCGGGAGUGCUCAGAGAUGGGUGUGCCUCUUUUGGGGUCGGUUCACAGGUGGUGCAUGGCUGUCGUCAGCUCGUGUCGUGAGAUGUUGGGUUAAGUCCCGCAACGAGCGCAACCCUUGUUCACUGUUGCCAGCACGUUAUGGUGGGGACUCAGUGGAGACCGCCGGGGUCAACUCGGAGGAAGGUGGGGAUGACGUCAAGUCAUCAUGCCCCUUAUGUCCAGGGCUUCACGCAUGCUACAAUGGCUGGUACAGAGAGUGGCGAGCCUGUGAGGGUGAGCGAAUCUCGGAAAGCCGGUCUCAGUUCGGAUUGGGGUCUGCAACUCGACCUCAUGAAGUCGGAGUCGCUAGUAAUCGCAGAUCAGCAACGCUGCGGUGAAUACGUUCCCGGG